This 73-nucleotide transfer RNA is filed under the name Bos taurus (domestic cattle). It matches the Rfam family "tRNA". From Rfam's summary of the family: Transfer RNA (tRNA) molecules are approximately 80 nucleotides in length. Their secondary structure includes four short double-helical elements and three loops (D, anti-codon, and T loops). The record is from Rfam by way of RNAcentral. Lineage: Eukaryota; Metazoa; Chordata; Mammalia; Artiodactyla; Bovidae. RNAcentral also lists the same sequence under 2 other names.
UCCCUGGUGGUCCAGUGGCUAAGACUCCAUGCUCCCAGUGCAGGGGGCCCAGGUUCAAUCCCUGGUCAGGGAA